AGUGAACGCUGGCGGUAGGCUUAACACAUGCAAGUCGAACGGUAGCACUGUAUGCGCUUGCUCUGACGGGUGGCGGGUGGCGGACGGGUGAUGCAUACAUAGGCAUCUCUUGUUUCGUGGGGGAGCAUGUAGGGCUAGUUACGCUACUACAUCCUACGUGUUACGGGUGAAUGCAGUGGAGCUUGGGACCUUGUGCGUUUGGAUGAGCCGAUGUCGGAUUAGCUUGUUGGCGGGGUAAUGGCCCACCAAGGCGACGAUCCGUAGCUGGUCUGAGAGGAUGAUCAGCCACCCUGGAACGGAGACAGCGUCCAGACUCCUACGGGAGGCAGCAGUGGGGAAUAUUAGACAAUGGGCGCAAGCCUGGUCCAGCCAGACCGCGUCGGUGAAGAAGGCCUUCGGGUUGUAAAGCCCUUUUGUUGGGAAAGAAAAGCAGCAGGUUAAGACCCCGCUGUACUGACGGUACCCAAAGAAUAAGCACCGGCUAACUUCGUG
Molecule: ribosomal RNA, 492 nt
Filed under: uncultured bacterium
Lineage: Bacteria
Description: partial 16S ribosomal RNA
Rfam family: Bacterial small subunit ribosomal RNA
Source: RNAcentral